This 497-nucleotide ribosomal RNA is filed under the name uncultured bacterium. RNAcentral describes it as "partial 16S ribosomal RNA". It matches the Rfam family "Bacterial small subunit ribosomal RNA", at positions 28 to 507 of the family's 1533-position model. The record is from RNAcentral.
GAUGAACGCUGGCGGCGUGCCUAAUACAUGCAAGUCGAGCGGACGGACGAUGAGCUUGCUGCGUUGAUGUUUGCGGCAGACGGGUGAGUAACACGUGGAUAACGUACUUGUAAUACUGGUAUAACCUCGGGAAACCGGAUCUUAUCCCGGAGAAUCUUUUGAACCACAGGGUGCAAUAGUGAAAGACGGCCUUGCUGGCUCGUAUAGCGGCAUCCGGGCUGCAUGAGCUAGUUGGUGAGGUAACGGCUUAUCAAGGCAACGAUGCGUAGCCGAACUAAGGGGGUGAUCGGCCACCCUGGAACUGAGACACGGUCCAGACUCCUAAGGGAGGCAGCAGUAGGGAAUGUUCCGCAAUGGGCGAAAGCAUGACGGAGCAACGCCGCGUGAGUGAUGACGGUCUUCGGAGCGUAAAGACCUGCUACUAGGGAAGAACAGAUGUGUACGUAGCUGUGCCCAGCUUGACGGUACUUAAUCAGAAAGCAACGGCUAACUACGUG